AAAAUAAAAUUGGGAUAAAAAAUAACCUGAAAAUCAGGAAACAGGAGAAACAGUCUAAACAUUUAUUUUGUGAUCUUGCCUAAUUAUUUUUCUUAUAGUCAAUAAGGAAUAAUUUAAAAUGACCUUAUUCCUGAGUACCUGGAGACUUCUAAGAAGUUUUGAAAAAUAAUUUUAUGUUGAAGAAUCAUACCACAAAAUACUUCCAAGAUAUAUAUGUGUUGCCAUCCUAGUUACUAUAAACCAGAGAAAAAUGUUCUAAUUGCUCUUUUUAAUGAAUAUGUACAAAAAUGCUUCAUUAUAAAUCUAGAAUAUAGGAAUAUGUUCAAUAAUUGAUUUUUGCAAAAAGUCUGUUUUUUUUUUUCUCUAAAGCAGGGAGAGAACUGUAGCUUCAUGAUCUGAGAUAUCAGGCAAGGAAGUCCUCCCCUAUUCUUUCUUAAGGGAUAAGCUCUUUAUAUUCCUCUCUCCAGUCCCUCAGAGACAGCAUCACAUAACUCCCCUAUGCUCUGUGCUCUGUUGGCUCCAUCCUCGGGGACAAGUGCUAUUUCACAUCUUACUCUUAAAUCACUUCUGAGAAACAGACAUAGCUUCCACCAAAGAGGAGCCCUCCCAACAGACCUCUAAUAACACCAAAGGGUUUCCAUGUGUGUGCCCUUAAGCGAACAUACACAAAUGAAAUGAAUCUAUAGAUUGAUAAUGAAGCCAGUUUUUAUAAGUGACACAUGAAUAUCAGUCGAUUAGACACACUCCUGCCGAGUACUGUAACAAAUCUCUUCAUUUUUACCACAUACAUGAAUAGCUGUCCCAUAUAUUCAUAAAACAUAAGAAUUUUUUUCUUGAUUAAUAAACUUCAUUUUUUAGAGUAGUUUUAGGCUCACAGCAAAAUUGAGUGGAAAGUAGAAGAGUUCCCAUAGACUCCCUACUCCCAUACACACACAGCUUCCCCCACUGUCAACAUCCUGCACCAGAAUGAUGCAUUUGCUAUAAUCGAUGAACCUACACUGACACAUCACUAUCACCCAGAGUCCACAGUUUACAUUAGGGUUCGAUAAAAUAAUUUUUUACAACUUAAAUCCCCCAAUAAACUUAACAUUACUUCUCUGGGCCAUACAUUUUUCUGCAUCAGUAAAAUGGGAUAAGAAUAUUUAUUUGGAGCUGGGAGUGGUGGUGCAUGCCUGUAGUCUCAGCUUCUUGGGAGGCUGAGGUGGGAGGAUUGCUUAAGCCCAGGAGUUUGACGCUGCAGUGAACCAUGAUUGCAUCACUGCACUAAAGCCUGGGCAGCAGAGUGAGACCCUGUCUCAAAACAAAACAAAAUAAAACAAAGACAACAAAAAGGUAAUAUUUGGAAAGUUUUGUGAGUAUUAUUGGGAUACAUUAUGAAAAGUGCUAGCACAUUAUAAGUAUUCAGUUACGGUUAUUUAAGUUUAUCAUUAAGAUCGUUAUAACCUGUAGGAACUGACACUGCUACCCCAAUCCUGUCUUUGAAGGAGCAAACCCAUAUGGGAGUAAAAAUGACUGGCUCCCCUCCCUGCCUUGACCUGUCAUUUGAGUCUACCUAAUUAUAAAACAAACAGGGUUUUAAGUUUUGAACCUAUUCCCUGUCAUGGUGGGUAGAAAAUCAAUCACUACACCUGUAUUUAUAAAACAAUCAGAACAGAGGAAAAGACACAAUUUUGAAUUCCAGCCACACAUUAAAACAACCCAUAUUUAUAAAACAAUCAGAACAGAGGAAAAGACAUGAUUUUGAAUUCCAGCCAUGCAUUAAUUGUGUGCAUUUAGGCACAUCACUUAAGCCUGUUAAAAUUCAUUUUAUCCACCGAAAGCACUUUAUAUACUUAAACGAACUAUGCUCAUUUACAGGGUUCUGUGCAUGAUCCUGCAUCCGUAAAACUGAGAAACCAACAGAAUGAGGACAGAAUGAAAAAAGAAAAAAACUUUCAGAAUGUUCUUCCUUUCCUCAAUGCCAUACAGUUUGUGCAGUCAGCUGAUUGGCUGAAAAGAGUCAGUUUUGACGACUGAUGCUUCCUGCUCAUGUUUAGUUGGUUUAGGAAGCUCAUUAGGAUGCUAUCUCGGAGAUGAGUCUGGUGGGUAGAAUAUCUGAUGACUCUAAGGCAAAUGUACUUCCUUCAGCUGGUGAAUUAAUUUCUCAAUAGACUCAAUUUGCUUUUUACUGUCUGGCAAUAUCCCAUAUUUGCAAUGGCCUUUCAAACACUUGCAAUAAAAUGUGGCUCACACAUACAACCUGUUAGCGGUGAAAGAGAAACAUUCAUCACAUUCAAAAUUCUCCAAACAUGAGAGCAGCUGAAUGUGCUUUAAGACAGUAUACCUAAUGAUACAUCUCUAUUUUCCCCUUCCUCUUACAAUCAUUUACACAGAUAUAUGAGAGGUAAAUAUGUGUUUAGAAAGUAUUAGUCAUCAUAGAUGUACCUCCAGUCAUCCAUUCAAAUGUAAACAUGGUAAAAUAUGCACUUGUACAAUUUUAUACUAUCAAUGAGUAUAGGUAGGUGAAAAUUAGUGUUGCCAGAAAAAAUUCAAACCAGAAAACUGAAAGUAUAGAAAAAUACUUUUUAUUUUGUCAUUGAAAAACCAUUUUAAAAUAAUAUAUCGUGUAGAAUAAAAAAUUCCAUGAAUAUAUACAUGUAAAUUAUACAUAUAUGUGAAUUUAAUUUUGUUAAAAGGUAAUUGGCAUCUGCAAUUUCAUGCAGUCUAAGUGAAACCCAUAAAGAAAUGUGUAUGAAAUAGGAAAGCAACAAAAGCUCAUAACAUUUUAAAAUUAGAAAUCAGAUUCAAAACCCAUCAUGAUCUAUUUUAAAUUUAUCUCUAUAACAUUUCAAUUGAGACAUAAAACACACUUUAUACAACAUGCCUCACUAUUUUAUUAACAGCAUGACUUCCCUUUCCCCAAUCCCCAAACCAUGUUCCCAUCUACACCCCACCCCACCCAAAUCUCACCUCUUCCAUUAGCAUUAUUACAAACAUAUUUUACAAAUCUUAUACCAAGCUUUUCCACUGUCUCUUUUCAAUGUAGAAAUAUCUUAUAUAUAAACCCAAAUACCACAAAUCUUCACAUUUAUAUUUUCUAAAGCAGUUAAACCUUUAUAGACAAUUCUACCUAAAAAGCCAAAUGUGCUUGACAAUAUGUCAUGUUAUGUUAAGUUGACCAGACACAGAAGUCAUUUCUGUCGGAUUUCUUGUCGAUGUUUGCAUUAAGUUGGAGCUUUCUGAUCUCGGCUCUUCUUGUGCCAGUAAUUUGAAAGGUCACCUCUCUGUUGGCCUUUGGUUUAUGCAAUGCAGUCUGGCAUUGCAUAAUUAAAAGUCUCGGCCGGGCACGGUGGCUCACGCCUGUAAUCCCAGCACUUUCGGAGGCCGAGGCGGGCGGAUCCCAAGGUCAGGAGAUCCAGACCAUCCUGGCUAACACGGUGAAACCCAGUCUGCACUAAAAAUACAAAAAAAUUAGCUGGAUGUGGUGGUGGGCGCCAGUAGUUCCAGCUACUCGCGAGGCAGAGGCAGGAGAAUGGCGUGAACCCGGGAGGGGGAGCUUGCGGUGAGCCAAGAUCGCGCCAUUGCACUCCAGCCUGGGCUACAGAGUGAGACUCCGUCUCAAAAAAAAGAAAGAAAAAAAAAGUCUUGUGAAUUUGUACAUAGAAUAUUGAAGUUAGAAGAGGCUUAUCACUCUCUGGGCUCUAAUACUGCCCAGAGGUUAUUUGUUUCUUGUUUCCAUAAGAAAAUCCUAUGUCUCUCCAUUAGCAUUCCUGAUCCUUACCUCCAAUUCAAAAUGUGGCCAGUUCCACCUUCUAAGCCUUUAUACCAAAUUGACUGGGUAGGUUUAUUAUGAAUCUGUGUUCUUGUCCAAACUCUACAUUAGACCUCGCAGGAGAGUUCAAACUAAAAACUAAUGAGUAAGUGCAAUAUUACAAUUGAAACGGGAGCAAACAUAAUUUCAAGUAGGACACAUAAAAACUGUGGGACCAAAAGAGGAAGAGUGCACGCCAAAUGUUCUCAAUUCUGAAAUGGCUCUUGUGAAAUAUCUAUGUGAAAACACUUCAAGGACCUGAAAAAAAAAAAAUGGUGAAAAAGCGAACAACCUUCCUUGCAAAACAACUCCAGAGUUAAUGCCAGAGCUUUCUAUCAAAACAUCCAUGUUAAGUUCGCCGGAAAGAUUCAGAAGAUCAAUGACAGGAGUAAGGGAAAAAACAAGGACAUUUUGUGAGUAGGAACGUAUAAUGACCCUGCAGCAGGAGAACGAGAGAGGGGGAAGAAGGAAAUGGAGGGUAAUAAAUCUCUGGAAGAGAAAAGAAAAGAAAGCCGCUCUGAGCGUACCUACCUUUCUACUCUGGAGAG
This 4338-nucleotide long non-coding RNA is filed under the name Homo sapiens (human). RNAcentral's name for it is "HSALNT0218174". The record is from RNAcentral. Lineage: Eukaryota; Metazoa; Chordata; Mammalia; Primates; Hominidae.